Molecule: non-coding RNA, 117 nt
Filed under: human gut metagenome
Description: yjdF RNA
Rfam family: azaaromatic riboswitch aptamer (yjdF RNA)
Source: RNAcentral
GGCAGGAUAAAAACGCAACGCGUCCUUUUUGAGGAUGCCAGAGCUGGUAGGUAGCCCAGCCGUCUGCGCCGCAUGGCACAGGUAAGUAACCCUCCCCUCCGGGUCGUCCGUUUCUGC